This 498-nucleotide ribosomal RNA is filed under the name uncultured bacterium. RNAcentral describes it as "bacterial SSU rRNA". It matches the Rfam family "Bacterial small subunit ribosomal RNA", at positions 899 to 1397 of the family's 1533-position model. The record is from RNAcentral.
ACUCAAAUGAAUUGACGGGGGCCCGCACAAGCGGAGGAACAUGUGGUUUAAUUCGAUGGUACGCGAGGAACCUUACCUGGGCUUAAAUGUAGAGUGCAUUUCACCGAAAGGUGGAUUUUCUUCGGAACUCUCUGCAAGGUGCUGCAUGGUUGUCGUCAGCUCGUGCCGUGAGGUGUCGGGUUAAGUCCCAUAACGAGCGCAACCCUUAUCGUUAGUUGCCAGCGGGUAAUGCCGGGAACUCUAACGAAACUGCCGGUGUAAACCGUGAGGAAGGUGGGGAUGACGUCAAAUCAGCACGGCCCUUAUGUCCAGGGCUACACACGUGUUACAAUGGCCGGUACAGAGGGCAGCUACCUGGAGACAGGAUGCGAAUCUCCAAAACCGGUCUCAGUUCGGAUCGAAGUCUGCAACUCGACUUCGUGAAGCUGGAUUCGCUAGUAAUCGCGCAUCAGCCAUGGCGCGGUGAAUACGUUCCCGGGCCUUGUACACACCGCCCGU